RNAcentral lists this long non-coding RNA (310 nucleotides) under Brassica rapa (field mustard). Its description in RNAcentral is "long non-coding RNA (BRAP_LNC002690)". Lineage: Eukaryota; Viridiplantae; Streptophyta; Magnoliopsida; Brassicales; Brassicaceae. The record is from RNAcentral.
UUUCUUUUACUAUUUGAUACAUAUAAAUUAUGUUUAUUUUUUAUUUUUUUGGUGUUACUUAAUAUUAACUACGACUAGCACAAGUAUAUUUCUUUUACCAUUUCAUACUUAUAAAAUAUGUUCUUUUAAUUUCCACUUAGUUAUUAAAUAAGAUUAGGAAUAUUUGCUUUAUAUAAACUUUACCAUUAUGAAAUAACCUCUUUAUAAUCUGUUAUAAUCCAAAAAAAUAACCGCUUCAAAAACGCGGAUCAAAUGUAAUUAUUUUAAACUAGAUCUUUUUUCCGCGCUACGCGCGGAUAAUAUAUUUAAA